ACAGGGAACCGACCCCAGACAGUGAUACUUUGCUACCCAUUGCCAGGCAGCCUUCAUCCAGGUUCAACCAUUAAGAAGCACCGGAGAGAUAUUGGGAAUAGGGGAAAACAGAGAAGCUGGAAAAGAUCUAUGAGGACAGAAAACCAAUAGCAGUUUCCUAAGUUUGGGUUCAAAAUGGCUGGAUCAAGUUUUACUACGUAGUCUCAGCCCAAGAAGACACAAGAGUUCUGUCUCUACAUUCUAAGUAAAGUUAAAACGCAAAGCAUAUUUGAUAUUCUGAAGAGCUCCAUGAAUUCACAGUUAAUUACAGAGUAGCUUCGGCUUCUCAAUAUAUGGUCCUGUUCUGAGGGUUCCAGGCUUCAUUUACUACAGUGUGAGCUCUAUGGCAACAGAGUGCUUACCUGUGUUGUUCAGUAUCACAACCCAUGCCAAGAACAAAACCUAGCACAAAUGUUCAGCAACUGUUUGUAAAAUUUCUCCAGAUGGCUCAGGUCUGUACUUUGUGUAUAACCUUUCUUUGGUAAACAUUU
This is a long non-coding RNA of Peromyscus eremicus (cactus mouse), 530 nucleotides long. RefSeq lists it as uncharacterized. NCBI's taxonomy places the organism in Eukaryota, Metazoa, Chordata, Mammalia, Rodentia, Cricetidae. The record is from RefSeq and is a predicted model, not a curated record. The transcript has 4 exons.